CUGGAAACGGUAGCUAAUACCGCAUAACGUCGCAAGACCAAAGAGGGGGACCUUCGGGCCUCUUGCCAUCGGAUGUGCCCAGAUGGGAUUAGCUAGUAGGUGGGGUAACGGCUCACCUAGGCGACGAUCCCUAGCUGGUCUGAGAGGAUGACCAGCCACACUGGAACUGAGACACGGUCCAGACUCCUACGGGAGGCAGCAGUGGGGAAUAUUGCACAAUGGGCGCAAGCCUGAUGCAGCCAUGCCGCGUGUAUGAAGAAGGCCUUCGGGUUGUAAAGUACUUUCAGCGGGGAGGAAGGGAGUAAAGUUAAUACCUUUGCUCAUUGACGUUACCCGCAGAAGAAGCACCGGCUAACUCCGUGCCAGCAGCCGCGGUAAUACGGAGGGUGCAAGCGUUAAUCGGAAUUACUGGGCGUAAAGCGCACGCAGGCGGUUUGUUAAGUCAGAUGUGAAAUCCCCGGGCUCAACCUGGGAACUGCAUCUGAUACUGGCAAGCUUGAGUCUCGUAGAGGGGGGUAGAAUUCCAGGUGUAGCGGUGAAAUGCGUAGAGAUCUGGAGGAAUACCGGUGGCGAAGGCGGCCCCCUGGACGAAGACUGACGCUCAGGUGCGAAAGCGUGGGGAGCAAACAGGAUU
RNAcentral lists this ribosomal RNA (634 nucleotides) under Shigella flexneri. RNAcentral describes it as "bacterial SSU rRNA". It matches the Rfam family "Bacterial small subunit ribosomal RNA", at positions 150 to 779 of the family's 1533-position model. Lineage: Bacteria; Pseudomonadati; Pseudomonadota; Gammaproteobacteria; Enterobacterales; Enterobacteriaceae. The record is from RNAcentral.